AAGCUUGCUAUGAAAAAGAGUAGUACACGUUUCACCUGUUUGAAGAGAGUCUGCGGUGCUGGGAGCAGAUAACGGGCAAUGUGGAAUGGACUUUGGAGCAGCUGACCGAACUGGAAAAAAGUAGGCUCAGCCGGAGCAGUCUCCGUUACAAACGUCAGAGUGAUUCCAUUUUAAUGGAAUAAUCAGGGUGGUACCACGGUUCAUUCGUCCCUUUU
This 215-nucleotide non-coding RNA is filed under the name Bacillus subtilis. RNAcentral describes it as "T-box sequence". It matches the Rfam family "T-box leader". From Rfam's summary of the family: Uncharged tRNA acts as the effector for transcription antitermination of genes in the T-box leader family. T-boxes are found upstream of many aminoacyl-tRNA synthetase genes and some amino acid biosynthetic genes usually in Gram-positive bacteria. The record is from RNAcentral. Lineage: Bacteria; Bacillati; Bacillota; Bacilli; Caryophanales; Bacillaceae. RNAcentral also lists the same sequence under 1 other name.